UACGUAGGGGGCAAGCGUUGUCCGGAUUUAUUGGGCGUAAAGAGCGUGUAGGCGGCUAGGUAGGUCCGUUGUGAAAACUCGAGGCUCAACCUCGAGACGUCGAUGGAAACCAUCUAGCUAGAGUCCGGAAGAGGAGAGUGGAAUUCCUGGUGUAGCGGUGAAAUGCGCAGAUAUCAGGAGGAACACCGGUGGCGAAGGCGGAUCUCUGGGCCUUACCUGACGCUGAGGCGCGAAAGCUAGGGGAGCGAACAGG
Molecule: ribosomal RNA, 253 nt
Filed under: uncultured bacterium
Lineage: Bacteria
Description: partial 16S ribosomal RNA
Rfam family: Bacterial small subunit ribosomal RNA
Source: RNAcentral